RNAcentral lists this ribosomal RNA (1797 nucleotides) under Durio zibethinus. Its description in RNAcentral is "SSU rRNA". It matches the Rfam family "Eukaryotic small subunit ribosomal RNA". The record is from RNAcentral. Lineage: Eukaryota; Viridiplantae; Streptophyta; Magnoliopsida; Malvales; Malvaceae.
GCUGGUUGAUCCUGUCAGUAGCCAUAUGCUUGUCUCAAAUAUUAAGCCAUGCGUGUGUAAGUAUGAACUAAUUCAGACUGUGAAACUAUGAAUGGCUCAUUAAAUUAGUUAUAGUUUGUUUGAUGGUAUCAACUACUCGGACAACUAUAGUAAUUCUAUAGCUAAUACGUGCAACAGACCCCAACUUCUGGAAGGGAUGCAUUUAUUAGAUAAAAUGUCAAUGCGGGCUAUGCCCGUUGCUCUGACGAUUCAUGAUAACUUGAUGGAUUGUAUGGCCUUUGCACCGGUGAUGCAUCAUUCAAAUUUUUGCCCUAUCAACUUUCGAUGGUAGGAUAGUGGCCUACUAUGGUGGUGAUAGGUGACGAAGAAUUAGGGUUCGAUUUCUAAGAGGGAGCCUGAGAAAUGGCUACCACAUCUAAGGAAGGCAGCAGGCACGCAAAUUACACAAUUCUGACAGGGGGAGGUAGUGACAAUAAAUAACAAUAUCGGGCUCUAUGAGUCUGGUAAUUGGAAUGAGUACAAUCUAAAUCCCUUAAUGAGGAUCCAUUGGAGGGCAAGUCUGGUGCCAGCAGCCACGGUAAUUCCAGCUCUAAUAGCGUAUAUUUAAAUUGUUGCAGUUAAAAAGCUCAUAGUUGAAACUAGGGUUGGGUCAUCCGGGCCAUCUCACGGUGAGCACAGGUCUACUCAUCCCUACUGCUGAUGAUGCACUCAUAGACUUAAUUACGCAGGUCGUUGCUCCGAUGCUAUUACUUUGAAGAAAUUAGAGUGCUCAAAGUAGGCCUACGUUUUUAUACAUUAGCAUAGGAUAGCAUCAUAGGAUUUUGGUCCUAUUGUGUUAGCCUUCGAAUCGGAGUAAUGAUUAACAGGGACAGUUGGGGGCAUUCGUAUUUCAUAGUCAGAGGUGAAAUUCUUGGAUUUAUGAAAGACGAACAACUGUGAAAGCAUUUGCCAAGGAUGUUUUCAUUAAUCAAGAAUAAAAGUUGGGGGCUCGAAGAUGAUCAGAUACGAUCCUAGUCUCAACCAUAAACAAUGCCGACCAAAGAUCGAUGGAUGUUACUUUUAGGACUCCAUCGACACCUUAUGAGAAAUCAAAGUCUUUGGGUUCAGGGGGGAGUAUGGUUGCAAGGCUGAAACUUAAAGGAAUUGACAGAAGGGCACCAUCAGGAGUGGAGCCUACAGCUUAAUUUGACUCAACACAGGGAAACUUACUAAGUCCAGACAUAGUAAGGAUUGACAGACUAAGAGCUCUUUCUUCAUUCAAUGGGUGGUGGUGCAUGGCUGUUCUUAGUUGGUGGAGUGAUUUGUCUAGUCAAUUCCGUUAACAAAUGAGACCUUAGCCUGCUAACUAGCUACGCGGAGGUGAUCCUUCAUAGCUAGCUUCUUAGAGGGACUAUGGCCGCUUAGGCGAAGGAAGUUUGAGGCAAUAACAUGUCUGUGAUGCCCUUAGAUGUUCUGGGCCGCACGCGCGCUACAAUGAUGUAUUCAACGAGUCUAUGGCCUUGGUCGACAAGCUCGGGUAAUCUUUAAAAUUUCAUUGUGAUGGGGAUAGAUCAUUGUAAUUGUUGGUCUUCAAUGAGGAAUUCCUAGAAAGCGUGAGUCAUCAGCUCACGUUGACUACAUCCCUGCACUUUGUACAUGCUGUCCGUCGCUCCUACUGAUUGAAUGGUCCGAUGAAGUGUUCGGAUCGUGGCAACGUGGAUGGUUCGUCGCCUACGACGUCGCGAGAAGUCCACUGAACCUUAUCAUUUAGAGGAAGGAGAAGUCAUAACAAGGUUUUCGUACGUGAACUUAUGGAAG